CAGACUUAGUUGGGUUUUAGAGGGGCGUAGGCAGCCAACUCAGUCAGCGGUGAAAUCGGCAGUUUAAGUGUAAAAGCGCCGAUGAUAUUUCGAGUCUAUGAAUUGGGUGGUGUGCCCCAAACCCGGUGUAGAGGUGAUAUGUUUGAGCUCACACACAAAUGUGGAGUGCGAAGUGAGUUCUCCAAGCCAAGAUUAACGUGCGCCACGAAAAUAUUGCGAUCAAAAAAGGAUUAGUAUCCCUGCUCGUCCACACCGUAAUGGAUGAUAAUUCGCUGUAGGCGCUCGACCCUCCGUGGCCAAGGGAAAGCGAUAAGUUAUCCACCUGGGGAGUACGACCGCAAGGUUGAAACUCAAAGGAAUUGAGGAGGGCCCGCACACGCGGAGGAACAUGUGGUUUGAUUCGAUGAUACGCGAGGAACCCUACUCGGGCUCGAACGGUGCAUGAAUGUUCAAGAGAUUGGACAGUCGUUCGGGACAUGUAUCGAGGUGGUGCAUGGUUGUCGUCAGCUCGUGCCGUGAGGUGUCGGCUUAAGUCCCAUAACGAGCGCAACCCUUGUCAUUAGUUACCAUCAGGUUAAGCUGGGGACUUUAGUGAGACUGCCCCCCUAAGGUGUGAGGAAGGGGGGGAUGACGUCAAAUCAGCACGGCCCUUAUGUCCGGGGCGACACACGUGUUACAAUGGGAGGUACAGAGAGCAGCCAGUUAGUGAUAACGCGUCAAUCUCAAAAACCUUUCGCAGUUCGGAUUGGAGUCUGCAACUUGAAUCCAUGAAGUUGGAUUUGCUCGUAAUCGCGCAUCAGC
This 801-nucleotide ribosomal RNA is filed under the name uncultured bacterium. RNAcentral describes it as "bacterial SSU rRNA". It matches the Rfam family "Bacterial small subunit ribosomal RNA", at positions 546 to 1353 of the family's 1533-position model. The record is from RNAcentral.